GGAUGUGAGGGCAAUCUAGCUGCGACAUCUAUCACCCCAUUGAUCGCCAGGGUUUAUUGGGCUGAUCUGGCUGGCUAGGCGGGUGUCCCCUUCCUCCCUCACCGCUCCAUGUGCGUCCCUCCAGAAGCUGCGCACUUGGUCAAAGAGGAGGACCAGUCUUCGGUCAAGGGUAUACGAGUAGCUGCGCUCCCCUGCUAGAACCUCCAAACAAGCUCUCUAAGCGUAUCUAAGUUGAUAGAACAAACUCUUAAUAUUAAUAAAGUACAUUGGGACUGCAAAUUUUACUU
This 287-nucleotide small nuclear RNA is filed under the name Propithecus coquereli (Coquerel's sifaka). RNAcentral's name for it is "7SK RNA (ENSPCOG00000011312.1)". It matches the Rfam family "7SK RNA". From Rfam's summary of the family: 7SK was discovered as an abundant small nuclear RNA in the mid-70s but a possible function has only recently been suggested. Two independent studies have found that 7SK RNA binds the CDK9/cyclin T complex (known as elongation factor P-TEFb). Lineage: Eukaryota; Metazoa; Chordata; Mammalia; Primates; Indriidae. The record is from Rfam by way of RNAcentral.